ACGUAGGUGACAAGCGUUGUCCGGAUUUACUGGGCGUAAAGAGCGCGCAGGCGGUCGAUCAAGUCGAGUGUGAAAGCCCCCGGCUCAACUGGGGAGGGUCAUUCGAUACUGAUCGACUCGAAGGCAGGAGAGGGUAGUGGAAUUCCCGGUGUAGUGGUGAAAUGCGUAGAUAUCGGGAGGAACACCAAUGGCGAAGGCAGCUCGCUGGGACGUGACUGACGCUGAGACGCGAAAGCGUGGGGAGCAAACAGGA
RNAcentral lists this ribosomal RNA (253 nucleotides) under uncultured prokaryote. RNAcentral describes it as "partial 16S ribosomal RNA". It matches the Rfam family "Bacterial small subunit ribosomal RNA", at positions 525 to 777 of the family's 1533-position model. The record is from RNAcentral.